This 561-nucleotide ribosomal RNA is filed under the name uncultured bacterium. RNAcentral describes it as "partial 16S ribosomal RNA". It matches the Rfam family "Bacterial small subunit ribosomal RNA", at positions 355 to 1375 of the family's 1533-position model. The record is from RNAcentral.
UGGGGAAUAUUGGACAAUGGGCGCAAGCCUGAUCCAGCCAUGCCGCGUGAGUGAUGAAGGCCCUAGGGUUGUAAAGCUCUUUCAGCGAGGAGGAUAAUGACGUUACUCGCAGAAGAAGCCCCGGCUAACUUCGUGCCAGCAGCCGCGGUAAUACGAAGGGGGCUAGCGUUGUUCGGAAUCACUGGGCGUAAAGCGCACGUAGGCGGACUUUUAAGUCAGGGGUGAAAUCCCGGGGCUCAACCUCGGAACUGCCUUUGAUACUGGAAGUCUGGAGUCCGAGAGAGGUGAGUGGAACUCCGAGUGUAGAGGUGAAAUUCGUAGAUAUUCGGAAGAACACCAGUGGCGAAGGCGGCUCACUGGCUCGGUACUGACGCUGAGGUGCGAAAGCGUGGGGAGCAAAACAGGAUUAGAUACCCUGGUAGUCCACGCCGUAAACGAUGGAAGCUAGCCGUCAGGGUGCAUGCAUCUUGGUGGCGCAGUUAACGCAUUAAGCUUCCCGCCUGGGGAGUACGGUCGCAAGAUUAAAACUCAAAGGAAUUGACGGGGUCAUAGCUGUUUCCU